CCGAUAGCAAACAAGUCCCCUGAGGGAAAGAUGAAAAGGACUUUGAAAAGAGAGUUAAAAGUGCCUGAAAUUGCUGAAAGGGAAGCGAAUGGAAUCAGUGCUUCUUGGCAAGAUUGGCGCGUGCUAAUGUGAUUGCUUGCUGCUUCAGCGUAAGCGUGGCAGUGGGUUUUGAUCAGGUCGUGCGUGUUGUUUCUUGCCUUGCUUAGUCAACGUCAGUUCUCAAUCGAGGAAAACGCCAGGGACAUGGUAGCCUGCCUACGGGUGUGUGAAUGUGCUUGGUUGAACUCAUUUGUGAACUGUUUCCUGUGUGUCUGGUUGCAGUGCACUGUGUCCUUGCAGCUCUGUCAGUUGGGUUCUACCCUUCUGCAGAUGCUGCUUGUGACAAGGGCAUCUCCCUGACACUACAACGCUGACGAAAUGGUUCUAUUCGACCCGUCUUGAAACACGGACCAAGGAGUCUAACAUAUGUGCGAGUUCAUGGGUGGUUAAACCUGCGUGCGCAAUGAAAGUGACUGCUGGGAUCUUUGCACCAGCAACCGACCAAUCAACUGAGAGAGGUUUGAGUAUGAGCAUAUCUGUUAGGACCCGAAAGAUGGUGAACUAUGCGUGGUUAGGGCAAAGUCAGGGGAAACUCUGAUGGAGGCUCGUAGCGAUACUGACGUGCAAAUCGUUCGUCAAAACUGCGUAUAGGGGCGAAAGACUAAUCGAACCAUCUAGUAGCUGGUUCCCUCCGAAGUUUCCCUCAGGAUAGCUGGAGUUGAACAGUUUUAUCAGGUAAAGCGAAUGAUUAGAGGAAUCGGGGACGCGUCGUCCUCGACCUAUUCUCAAACUUUAAAUGGGUAAGAUCCAGUGGUUACUUGGGUGAACUUCUGGGAUAAAUGACAACUCUAAGUGGGCCAUUUUUGGUAAGCAAAACUGGCGAUGAGGGAUGAACCUAACGUUGGGUUAAGGUGUUAACUGCUCG
RNAcentral lists this ribosomal RNA (964 nucleotides) under Heterocapsa sp. SK-2015. Its description in RNAcentral is "eukaryotic LSU rRNA". It matches the Rfam family "Eukaryotic large subunit ribosomal RNA", at positions 334 to 1199 of the family's 3401-position model. Lineage: Eukaryota; Dinophyceae; Peridiniales; Heterocapsaceae. The record is from RNAcentral.